This 200-nucleotide ribosomal RNA is filed under the name uncultured bacterium. Its description in RNAcentral is "partial 16S ribosomal RNA". It matches the Rfam family "Bacterial small subunit ribosomal RNA", at positions 524 to 723 of the family's 1533-position model. The record is from RNAcentral.
UACGAGGGGUGCAAGCGUUAAUCGGAAUUACUGGGCGUAAAGCGUUCGUAGGCGGUUGAAUAAGCAAGAUGUGAAAGCCCAGGGCUCAACCUUGGAACUGCAUUUUGAACUGUUCAACUAGAGUACUGUAGAGGUGGUGGAAGUUUCCAGUUGAGCGGUGAAAUGCGUAGAGAUUGGAAGGAACAUCAGUGGCGAAGGCG